GCAGUCGUGGCCGAGUGGUUAAGGCGAUGGACUAGAAAUCCAUUAGGGUCUCCACGCACAGGUUUGAAUCCCGUCGGCUGCG
This 82-nucleotide transfer RNA is filed under the name Ixodes scapularis (black-legged tick). It matches the Rfam family "tRNA". From Rfam's summary of the family: Transfer RNA (tRNA) molecules are approximately 80 nucleotides in length. Their secondary structure includes four short double-helical elements and three loops (D, anti-codon, and T loops). The record is from Rfam by way of RNAcentral. Lineage: Eukaryota; Metazoa; Arthropoda; Arachnida; Ixodida; Ixodidae.